UAGAUAUUUCGGUUUUUUUUUCGAAAUUUCUUUCCCGGAAUUCGAUAGUACAAAUACAGGUAUUCCCCCGUCCCGUUUUCAUU
Caenorhabditis elegans is the source of this 83-nucleotide small nucleolar RNA. Lineage: Eukaryota; Metazoa; Nematoda; Chromadorea; Rhabditida; Rhabditidae. The record is from Ensembl.